RNAcentral lists this ribosomal RNA (234 nucleotides) under uncultured Glomeraceae. RNAcentral's name for it is "partial 18S ribosomal RNA". It matches the Rfam family "Eukaryotic small subunit ribosomal RNA", at positions 548 to 784 of the family's 1831-position model. The record is from RNAcentral. Lineage: Eukaryota; Fungi; Glomeromycota; Glomeromycetes; Glomerales; Glomeraceae.
UUGGAGGGCAAGUCUGGUGCCAGCAGCCGCGGUAAUUCCAGCUCCAAUAGCGUAUAUUAAAGUUGUUGCAGUUAAAAAGCUCGUAGUUGAAUUUCGGGAUUAGCAGGUCGGUCGUGCCACUGGUACGUACUGGUCUUGCUGAUUCCUCCCUCUUGACGAGCCGUAAUGCCAUUAAUUUGGUGUUGCGGGGAAUCAGGACUGUUACUUUGAAAAAAUUAGAGUGUUUAAAGCAGG